RNAcentral lists this ribosomal RNA (253 nucleotides) under uncultured bacterium. RNAcentral's name for it is "partial 16S ribosomal RNA". It matches the Rfam family "Bacterial small subunit ribosomal RNA", at positions 524 to 776 of the family's 1533-position model. The record is from RNAcentral.
GACAGAGGUGCCAAGCGUUAGGCGGAAUCACUGGGCUUAAAGCGUGUGUAGGCGGAAUGGUAAGUACCUUGUGAAAUCCCACGGCUCACCCGUGGAACUGCUCGGUAUACUGGGUGUCUUGAGCCACUUAGGGGCUACCGGAACAAAUGGUGGAGCGGUGAAAUGCGUAGAUAUCAUUUGGAACGCCAAUGGUGAAAACAGGUAGCUGGGAGUGUGCUGACGCUGAGACACGAAAGCCAGGGGAGCAAACGGG